CACAACUUAAGACUGCUGUUGUGGACAAUCAGGUGUGCUUUCUUGGUCAGAAAUAGGCAAUGAGAGACUGACUUAAGUCAUAUAUAGGCCCUGACGUCCAACGGCCAUAUAUUUAUCUCAGACACCGCAGAGUGAAGUGGAUGAAAGUCUACAACUCCUCCUGGAUGGGAUCCCAGUCUAUCAAAGCCUAUUUCCGCAACCAAGGCAGUACCCAUUCAGAGCUGGGUGGACUGGGACAACGCACAUGAGCUGGUGUGAGUUGUCUAAGGACACAAACAAGUAGCCUGUGUGAUGGAGGCCAGCAGGAGUCGCUGUGCAUGUGGUAGUCAAUAGGCCUCACUCCAACAGCCAAAGGAUACUCUAGUCACUGAGGUCAGAGCCCAGGUUUUAGUCGACUGGUCAGAGCAUCUGCCUCCCGUGCAGGACAUCGCAAGUUUGCGUCCUGAGAGGAGCAAGUGGGAGGAAUCAAUCAUAACCCAACACAGAAGCAGAGAGAGGAGAGCCACCACAUCUGCAGCAGACACCUGUAAUCAAACUCUGGCCUAUAUAACGGUUAUCCACAACAGUGUUUUUAAUAUUGGUAUCAUUUCAACAUGCUUUCUGGAAAUGUAUGGUUUGGACAGUUAUCUAGAUUUUAAGCACAGACUGGGCAGGAAACCAUGCUUCUGUUUGUUGUGGGUAAUACUGGUUUGAUCGAUAGCCAGCUUCCACUUUCCUGCUUGUACAAUAUUGUAAAACAAACAAACGUGCUGUUUAUGAAUGU
This is a long non-coding RNA of Thalassophryne amazonica, 763 nucleotides long. RefSeq lists it as uncharacterized. The record is from RefSeq and is a predicted model, not a curated record. Lineage: Eukaryota; Metazoa; Chordata; Actinopteri; Batrachoidiformes; Batrachoididae. The transcript is spliced from 2 exons.